CCCAAUCUGUCCCUUAAAAUUCUGAAAGUUAUCCGAAGACAAAUAGAAUUCUAAUUCAAUAUGUAAUUGGUUAGUUACUAAAUCCAUAUUUUAAUCCGUCACGUUCUUUAUCUCUACACAACUUCCAUAUUCAACCAAAAGGAGAAAACGAAAAGGUCUCUGCAAUUAUACAGAGUCUAAAUUCUGCAACCCUUUUUCUUGCUCUCCAAUAAUUUAUCAAAUCUUUGAUUAGCUAAAUUUCCAUAAUAGAAAACCCAAUUCUUUCUUAUAAAUUGAUAACUUCAUAUGUAAAACAUCAUAAGUUCGUUGAACUUUUCAGGGAAUUUUUUUUUCAAUGGAGGGCAGCGGAACAAGUUGGGCUGAUCAAUGGGGUACGGGAAAAACUGGUGAAGAGGACAAGAAGAAGAGAUUGAUAAAGAAAAGUGGAAAAAAGAUGGAUGAUUUCAAGAAGGUGGCUUCUGCAGGUUUUGUUAAGGCUAAGGCAGUAGCUGUUUUUGGGGCCAAAAAGGUCAAGACUGGAACAUCUUUGGGAAUCAAGUGGAUAAAGGAUCAAUCCCAGAAAAGAAAAUCAUCAAAGUGAUUCUUGUAAUUUUCACCUUUUUUAAGUUCUUGGGGCAUUUGAAUAGGCAGUUUCAGAGAACUGUGGAUUGGUUUGCUCAAUCGACUAGAAACAAUGGAAAGUGGUUUAUGAGUUUAUUUUUUUUUUCUUGUUUUAUAUGUAUAUUCUGCAGCUUAUAUAUGUUCUUGUUGAAGUAUAAUUUUAGACACGGUUUUAUGCUCAAUUUUCAUGAUUUGCACAGUAAAUUUUAAAAAUUUGUGUCUACUUUUUUUUUGGCAA
Molecule: long non-coding RNA, 838 nt
Filed under: Coffea arabica (coffee)
Lineage: Eukaryota; Viridiplantae; Streptophyta; Magnoliopsida; Gentianales; Rubiaceae
Description: long non-coding RNA (CARA_LNC003504)
Source: RNAcentral